This is a long non-coding RNA of Ostrinia nubilalis (European corn borer), 389 nucleotides long. RefSeq lists it as uncharacterized. The transcript has 4 exons. The record is from RefSeq and is a predicted model, not a curated record. Lineage: Eukaryota; Metazoa; Arthropoda; Insecta; Lepidoptera; Crambidae.
CGGGCGGCGCCGGCGCGCCUGUUGCCCUGGCUGCGCUGGCCGCCGCGCUGCAGCCGCCGCCCACUGACGCCGACGACGCCGAGCGAAGAGUCGUAAGCUCCUUGCAGCAAGCAGCGGAAGGUGACUGGCCACCGGCGGGCGUCGCCACGGGACUCGCGGUGGUGGACCGUCUCGACACCUACGUCGCACUGGCUACAGGUCUAUCAACGCCGUUCGGUUCGGGCCCGGUGACCGCAGAGGGCUGGACUCGCGACGAGCCCGUGGCGCCUCUGGACCUCGCACCCGCCAUCUUAACGGAUGAACGAAUUUGCGGCACCAGGUACGUGGUGGGCGCGGACGGGUCGGGCGCGCUGGCGCAGGGCGCGGCGGCGCUGGCGGCGGCGGGCGCG